This 34-nucleotide transfer RNA is filed under the name Terrapene nelsoni (spotted box turtle). RNAcentral's name for it is "partial tRNA-Asx". The record is from RNAcentral. Lineage: Eukaryota; Metazoa; Chordata; Testudines; Emydidae.
CUAGACAAAUGGGCCUCGAUCCCAUAAAAAUUUA